GACGAACGCUGGCGGCGUGCUUAACACAUGCAAGUCGAACGAUGAACCCGGAGCUUGCUCCGGCGGAUUAGUGGCGAACGGGUGAGUAACACGUGAGUAACUUGCCCUUGACUCUGGGAUAACUGCUAGAAAUGGUAGCUAAUACCGGAUACGACCCUCGGUGGCAUCACCAGGGGGUGGAAAGAAUUUCGGUCAAGGAUGGACUCGCGGCCUAUCAGCUAGCUGGUGGGGUAACGGCUCACCAAGGCGACGACGGGUAGCCGGCCUGGGAGGGUGAACGGCCACACUGGGACUGAGACACGGCCCAGACUCCUACGGGGGGCAGCAGUGGGGAAUAUUGCACAAUGGGCGCAAGCCUGAUGCAGCAACGCCGCGUGAGGGAUGACGGCCUUCGGGUUGUAAACCUCUUUUAGUAGGGAAGAAGCGAAAGUGACGGUACCUGCAGAAAAAGCACCGGCUAACUACGUGCCAGCCGCCGCCGUAA
This 484-nucleotide ribosomal RNA is filed under the name uncultured bacterium. RNAcentral's name for it is "partial 16S ribosomal RNA". It matches the Rfam family "Bacterial small subunit ribosomal RNA", at positions 28 to 523 of the family's 1533-position model. The record is from RNAcentral.